UCUACAUUCCUUUGGACAGCUGUCUGC
Molecule: non-coding RNA, 27 nt
Filed under: Homo sapiens (human)
Lineage: Eukaryota; Metazoa; Chordata; Mammalia; Primates; Hominidae
Source: RNAcentral